This 1240-nucleotide ribosomal RNA is filed under the name metagenome. RNAcentral describes it as "bacterial SSU rRNA". It matches the Rfam family "Bacterial small subunit ribosomal RNA", at positions 169 to 1387 of the family's 1533-position model. The record is from RNAcentral.
CCGCAUACGACCUUCGGAUCGCAUGGUCUGAAGAUGAAAGAUGGCCUCUCUUUGAAGCUGUCGUUGAAGGAUGGUUCCGCCUCCAAUUAGCUAGUUGGUGGGGUAAUGGCCUACCAAGGCGACGAUUGGUAGCCGGCCUGAGAGGGUGUCCGGCCACACUGGGACUGAGAUACGGCCCAGACUCCUACGGGAGGCAGCAGUCGAGAAGCUUCCGCAAUGGGGGAAACCCUGACGGAGCGACGCCGCGUGAACGAAGAAGGUCCUAUGGAUUGUAAAGUUCUGUCAGAUUGGGAAGAAAACCUUGGGGUUAAUACCCUCAAGGCUUGACGGUACCAUCAGAGGAAGCACCGGCUAACUCCGUGCCAGCAGCCGCGGUAAUACGGAGGGUGCAAGCGUUGUUCGGAUUCACUGGGUAUAAAGGGUGCGCAGGCGGCUUGAUAAGUCAGAGGUGAAAUAUGUCGGCUCAACCGGCAAACGGCCCCUGAAACUGUCAAGCUUGAGUCCGGGAGAGGUAGGUGGAAUUCCAGGUGUAGCGGUGAAAUGCGUAAAUAUCUGGAGGAACACCGGUGGCGAAGGCGGCCUACUGGCCCGGAACUGACGCUCAGGCACGAAAGCAUGGGGAGCGAACGGGAUUAGAUACCCCGGUGGUCCAUGCCGUAAACGAUGGGUACUAGGUGUUGGAGGAUUCUACCCCUUCAGUGCCGCAGCUAACGCAUUAAGUACCCCACCUGGGGAGUACGAUCGCAAGGUUGAAACUCAAAGGAAUUGACGGGGGCCCGCACAAGCGGUGGAGCAUGUGGUUUAAUUCGAUGCAACGCGAAGAACCUUACCUGGGCUUGACAUGCAGGGGACAGAUGUAGAAAUACAUCCUUCUUCGGACUCCUGUACAGGUGCUGCAUGGCUGUCGUCAGCUCGUGUCGUGAAAUGUUAGGUUAAGUCCUGCAACGAGCGCAACCCCUAUCUUUAGUUGCCAUCAGGUUAUGCUGGGGACUCUAGAGAGACUGCCGGUGACAAACCGGAGGAAGGUGGGGACGACGUCAAGUCAUCAUGGCCCUUACGCCCAGGGCUACACACGUGCUACAAUGGUCGGUACAAUGGGCUGCAAUACAGCGAUGUGGAGCGAAUCCCAAAAAGCCGGCCUCAGUUCGGAUCGUAGUCUGCAACUCGACUACGUGAAGUUGGAAUCGCUAGUAAUCGCGUAUCAGAACGACGCGGUGAAUACGUUCCCGGGCCUUGUACG